UCCAUUCCUAGCCAGAACGACAAACUCAACUUCUUCCCAACUUCCGAGGCCCAGACUCAAGAAGCUAGUUCUCCUUCAGCACCUGUUCUUGGGCUGCAGACCCCCAGACCAAUCAUAGAAGGCCUUAAUUUUAAGUGUUUAUUACCAGAAGAUUCAACUUUUAGAUUCUCUGAAGAAAAGUCUUUCCUAGGAAAGGUGAGGGGGCCGGCCUGUGGCCAAGUGGUUAAGUCUGCACGCUCUGCUUCUGUGGCCUGGAGUUCACCGGUUCAGAUGCUGGGUGGGGACCUACACGCUGCUCAUCAAGUGAUGCUGUGGCAGCAUCCCACAUAGAAGAACUAGAAUGACCUGCAACAAGGAUAUACAACUAUGUACUGGGGCUUUAAAGGAAAAAAAAGAGGCAGAUUGGCAACAGAUGUUAGCUCAGGGCCAAUCUUCCUCACCAAAAAAU
This 448-nucleotide long non-coding RNA is filed under the name Equus caballus (horse). RNAcentral's name for it is "lncRNA (ENSECAG00000046979.1)". The record is from RNAcentral. Lineage: Eukaryota; Metazoa; Chordata; Mammalia; Perissodactyla; Equidae.